RNAcentral lists this ribosomal RNA (164 nucleotides) under uncultured soil bacterium. RNAcentral's name for it is "partial 16S ribosomal RNA". It matches the Rfam family "Bacterial small subunit ribosomal RNA", at positions 26 to 185 of the family's 1533-position model. The record is from RNAcentral.
AGAAUCAACGCUGGCGGCGUGCCUCAGACAUGCAAGUCGAACGAUUAAAGCUCUCUUCGGAGAGUGUAUAGAGUGGCGCACGGGUGAGUAACACGUAAGUAAUCUACCUUUGAGUGGGGAAUAACAUCGGGAAACCGAUGCUAAUACCGACAUAAUGCAGCGGC